Molecule: long non-coding RNA, 1481 nt
Organism: Mauremys mutica (yellowpond turtle)
Lineage: Eukaryota; Metazoa; Chordata; Testudines; Geoemydidae
Exons: 3
Source: RefSeq, a predicted model, not a curated record
CAGUCUCUGUAUUGGUAACAUGAAAGUAGUUGGCAUGACUUUAAUAUAACAUCAGGAACAUUGUGGCAAAGUAAACACGGGAAAGCAAAGCUGUUCAGCUAGAUUGUGCUGGCACGCAUCGUGUUCUAAAUGGGUUCCAAACAUAGAGGAAGACACAGUUCUUACCCUGAAGAAUGUAAAAACAAAGAAACGGAUCUUUGCUUCAGUGGGAAUUUUUCAGCCAACUGUAGUCUCAAAAUUAAUAAUCUUCAACUCGUCUCACUACAUUUUCAAGAGCCUGAUGUAUCUAUCCUCACUGGAGCACUGAAAUCAGGGAGAGGUUUGCAUGCGUAAACAUGACUGGACACCAGGUUGUUGUCAAAGAGGACAGAGAGAGAGGCUAUUCUUCUCUUUCUCAAGCCACUUCGGAAGAAAUGUAAAGUUUAAAAUUUUUACCAAGAGAAAAGUUCAGUUCAAUAAAUGCAGGAGGUAGCAUGUCCAGUGAUAAGAGUAAGGGACUGUGUUUGUUUUCCUGAUUGUCACUGACUCACUGCAUGACCAUGAGCAAGUCACUGUGUGUAUCUACACUGGGCUUUUCCAGCAUUGCUGCCACCAGUUCAUCUCCCCUGGCUACUGCAGUGCAGGGAGCAGUAGUGUAUAGAGGGGUCUGGGCAGCCACCAGUGUUUCAACCACUUUGUGGUUUCAGGUUACUCAGAGCAGGCCAGCAGAUUUUGGGGCUUUGCAGUGGGUCAUCUUCCAGGUGGAAGAGAAAUUAGUCACAUAGGCCCAGCAUAGUUUCUUCUAGUCUCUUUUGAUUCACAGAAUGUACACAAGACCUUCUUUUCCUUGACACAGAGAUGGUAAAAAAAUAACACCAGAACUGCACACAGGUAUGCUAUUUGCAGAAAUCCCACCUAGGACACCACUGUGUUCACCCUGGUAGUCAGAAAACAGCUUCCUUUCAAACCUCUGGGACCCUUCCACCUCGCAAGGUCCUAGACCCCAGGCUCCAGCCCAAACCCCGAAGUCCUACACAGUAAUGAAACAGCCCUGCAGCCUGAGCCCCACAAAGCCCUAGUUAGCUGGCAUGGGCCAGCCGUAGUUGUCUAGUUGCUAUGCAGACAUACCCUUAGUCUCUCUGUGCUACUUUCAGCACACUGGUCUUGUCCACACCAGGGAAUCUUACCAAAAGAUACUGCUUCCACUGAUUCAGCUGCACCGGUGUUGGUGGACGCUAUUGUGUAGAAAAGUCUUGGUGGCACUAAACAGUUUUAAUUGACAUGGUGAUAAAAAUAGCGGUCUACAGCCUUGUCUACACUAGGGAUUCAACAGGUACUUCCGUCAAUUCAGCUGAACCAGUAGUAGCUCAGAGAGAAUAUUUGGAAAUAUUCCCUAGUGUAGACACGGCCUAACUGUGUCCUGCCAACUUUCAUUUUAUCCAGUAACAACACAGGUGGCUGUUCAAAGGUAAAUUAGUGGGAAACUAGAGCUAAAGAUCAUU